GACGAACGCUGGCGGCGUGCUUAACACAUGCAAGUCGAACGGAAAGGCCCUGCUUUUGUGGGGUGCUCGAGUGGCGAACGGGUGAGUAACACGUGAGUAACCUGCCCUUGACUUUGGGAUAACUUCAGGAAACUGGGGCUAAUACCGGAUAGGAGCUCCUGCUGCAUGGUGGGGGUUGGAAAGUUUCGGCGGUUGGGGAUGGACUCGCGGCUUAUCAGCUUGCUGGUGGGGUAGUGGCUUACCAAGGCUUUGACGGGUAGCCGGCCUGAGAGGGUGACCGGCCACAGUGGGACUGGGGUACGACCCAGACUCCUACGGGGGGCAGCGGUGGAGACUAUUGCACACUGGGCGGAAGCCGGGUGCAGCAACGCCGCGUGCGGGAUGACGGCCUUCGGGUUGUAAACCGCUUUCGCCUGUGACGAAGCGUGAGUGACGGUAAUGGGUAAAGAGGCACCGGCUAACUACGU
This 467-nucleotide ribosomal RNA is filed under the name uncultured bacterium. RNAcentral's name for it is "partial 16S ribosomal RNA". It matches the Rfam family "Bacterial small subunit ribosomal RNA", at positions 28 to 506 of the family's 1533-position model. The record is from RNAcentral.